GACGGCCACAUUGGGACUGAGAUACGGCCCAGACUCCUACGGGAGGCAGCAGUGGGGAAUAUUGCACAAUGGGCGCAAGCGUCUGAUGCAGCGACGCCGCGUGAGGGAUGACGGCCUUCGGAGUUGUAAACCUCUUUCGUCAGGGACGAAUGC
RNAcentral lists this ribosomal RNA (153 nucleotides) under uncultured Corynebacterium sp. RNAcentral's name for it is "partial 16S ribosomal RNA". It matches the Rfam family "Bacterial small subunit ribosomal RNA", at positions 303 to 452 of the family's 1533-position model. Lineage: Bacteria; Bacillati; Actinomycetota; Actinomycetes; Mycobacteriales; Corynebacteriaceae. The record is from RNAcentral.